RNAcentral lists this transfer RNA (68 nucleotides) under Euschemon rafflesia. Its description in RNAcentral is "tRNA-Leu". The record is from RNAcentral. Lineage: Eukaryota; Metazoa; Arthropoda; Insecta; Lepidoptera; Hesperiidae.
GCUAUUUUGACAGAAAAAUGUAAUGAUUUUAGAAGUCAUAAAUAUAUAGUUAAUUUAUAUAUAUAGUA